Molecule: non-coding RNA, 348 nt
Organism: Paramormyrops kingsleyae
Lineage: Eukaryota; Metazoa; Chordata; Actinopteri; Osteoglossiformes; Mormyridae
Source: RefSeq, a predicted model, not a curated record
ACACCCCACGCUCUUCCAGUACAGUCCACAUGCCGGAUGCCUUCAAAAGCAAACUGUAGAGGCUGAUGGAGCCAUACCUGCAGAGACACUGAUGUCUCAUGAAAGUGAGAUUACACACGACACUGAUGACAACAACGAUGAUGAUGGUCAAACUACCGAAGAAGGUUCCUGUUCAUCUCGCACUCAGUCUGCUGCGGGCAGACAUGCACAGCAGCCCAGCGCCCACCUGCAACAGGACUGCAUUCAGAGAGAGACGACAGUGGUGCACAUCUCUGAGAUGGAGAAAGAGACGACCAUGAAAACCCUUGUAGACAUCAAGCGGAAGGUUGAGAGCAAGUAUCAGCAGGA